This is a long non-coding RNA of Haliotis rubra (blacklip abalone), 356 nucleotides long. RefSeq lists it as uncharacterized. The record is from RefSeq and is a predicted model, not a curated record. The transcript has 2 exons. NCBI's taxonomy places the organism in Eukaryota, Metazoa, Mollusca, Gastropoda, Lepetellida, Haliotidae.
AACCUGGUUCAAUUCCCUAUCUGGGUACAAUGUGUGAAUCCAUUUCUGGUGUCCCCCAUCGUGAUAUUGCUGGAAUAUUGCUGAAAGCGGCGUAACACCAUACUCACUCACCCAAAGUACUCAGGUUUUUAUUGACAGCAGGUGACAAACAUCAACCCACUUUUAAGACAAUGUGAACAAUUAUUUUUUGUGACAUCUUGUUAAGGUAGCUUCUGGAUUAAAAUAUUGUUUUGUGAACACGUCAGUUCUUUUGAUAUUUUCACCUACUUUGCAGUAUAAUUAGCGCCUUCGUUAUAUAACUGUACUUGGGCCCGAGGCCAUAAUAUCGAAAUAAAAUCAAUCACUGUUUAAAUGUA